AUCUUAUUUCAAGGUUUGAAUAUUUAAAAUCUUCGUACGCACUUUAUUAAAAUUUUUGAAACAUUUUUCUAGCAGGAAGUGCAGUAAAUGUUCAUUAAAGAGUUUGCUAAAUUACGAUACAGCUUCAAGUUCAAGUUCAAGAUUGCACACGUUAAAUAAUUAAUAAGAGAGGUACAAAUUUGCAAUAAACCAUUUGUACAAAUUCCGGCAGUAUUAUUUUCAACGAAUUUUAACCGAUUUUUUUACAAAAGAAAAACAGUAAAAAAAAUGAGACUCGCAACCACCUCUAUUCGCAUCGGAUUGCUUUCCGUCUUCUUCGUCGUCCUGAUCCAAUUGGACAUCGCCACGUGUCGCAGCGUGCCCCUGACUGACGAAGAUACGGAAUUAAGUCGCCCUUCGUUGGACGAUGUUUCGUCUUCUUCAAAAGGUCGGAAAUCUGAAGUCGAAGACUUUGUCGUGGCCCCAGCGGCGGAUGAUAUUAUUAUAAUCGUUAGCGCGGAGGAUGACUCGCCCGCGCAGGCGGGAGAUUUGAAACGCAUCAAGAGAAACAAGACUAGAAUAAGGUAUCAUAAGAAGAUCAUUAUCCGUGGAGGGUUCGGACUGGACAACUAAAUAUUUAGGUUAUAUUUAAGAUAAGCUAGAGAUAUAUGCAAUGUAAAUAAUUGAUAAGUUAAUCAUUAGUAAUUUAAUGAAAAUGUAAAUAAAUGAAGACGAAUAAGAAUUUAAUUCGCAAAAAUUUUAA
Folsomia candida is the source of this 742-nucleotide long non-coding RNA. RefSeq lists it as uncharacterized. NCBI's taxonomy places the organism in Eukaryota, Metazoa, Arthropoda, Collembola, Entomobryomorpha, Isotomidae. The record is from RefSeq and is a predicted model, not a curated record. The transcript is spliced from 2 exons.